ACGCUGGCGGCGUGCCUAAUACAUGCAAGUCGAACGGUCUUUCUAUGGAAGCUUGCUUCCACUGAGAAGAUAGUGGCGAACGGGUGAGUAACACGUGGGUAACCUGCCCAUAAGAGGGGGGAUAACAUCCGGAAACGGGUGCUAAUACCGCAUAGUUUUUCUUGAUCGCAUGAUCGGGAAAGGAAAGACGGCCUUUGUGCUGUCGCUUAUGGAUGGACCCGCGGCGUAUUAGUUAGUUGGUGAGGUAACGGCUCACCAAGACGAUGAUACGUAGCCGACCUGAGAGGGUGAUCGGCCACAUUGGGACUGAGACACGGCCCAAACUCCUACGGGAGGCAGCAGUAGGGAAUCUUCCGCAAUGGACGAAAGUCUGACGGAGCAACGCCGCGUGAGUGAAGAAAGGUUUUCGGAUCGUAAAACUCUGUUGUCAGAGAAGAACAAGUUGGAGAGUAACUGCUCCAGCCUUGACGGUAUCUGACCAGAAAGCCACGGCUAACUACGUGCCAGCAGCCGC
RNAcentral lists this ribosomal RNA (514 nucleotides) under uncultured bacterium. Its description in RNAcentral is "bacterial SSU rRNA". It matches the Rfam family "Bacterial small subunit ribosomal RNA", at positions 33 to 518 of the family's 1533-position model. The record is from RNAcentral.